Molecule: ribosomal RNA, 447 nt
Filed under: uncultured bacterium
Lineage: Bacteria
Description: bacterial SSU rRNA
Rfam family: Bacterial small subunit ribosomal RNA
Source: RNAcentral
GAUGAACGCUGGCGGCGUGCUUAACACAUGCAAGUCGAGCGAAGCACUUAAGUCUGAUUCUUCGGAUGAAGACUUUUGUGACUGAGCGGCGGACGGGUGAGUAACGCGUGGGUAACCUGCCUCAUACAGGGGGAUAACAGUUAGAAAUGACUGCUAAUACCGCAUAAGACCACGGUACCGCAUGGUACAGUGGUAAAAACUCCGGUGGUAUGAGAUGGACCCGCGUCUGAUUAGGUAGUUGGUGGGGUAACGGCCUACCAAGCCGACGAUCAGUAGCCGACCUGAGAGGGUGACCGGCCACAUUGGGACUGAGACACGGCCCAGACUCCUACGGGAGGCAGCAGUGGGGAAUAUUGCACAAUGGAGGAAACUCUGAUGCAGCGACGCCGCGUGAAGGAUGAAGUGUUUCGGUAUGUAAACUUCUAUCAGCAGGGAAGAAAAUGACGG